GAUGAACGCUGGCGGCGUGCCUAACACAUGCAAGUCGAGCGAUUCUCUUCGGAGAAGAGCGGCGGACGGGUGAGUAACGCGUGGGUAACCUGCCCUGUACACACGGAUAACAUACCGAAAGGUAUGCUAAUACGAGAUAAUAUGCUUUUAUCGCAUGGUAGAAGUAUCAAAGCUCCGGCGGUACAGGAUGGACCCGCGUCUGAUUAGCUAGUUGGUAAGGUAACGGCUUACCAAGGCGACAAUCAGUAGCCGACCUGAGAGGGUGAUCGGCCACAUUGGAACUGAGACACGGUCCAAACUCCCACGGGAGGCAGCGGUGGGGAAUAUUGCACAAUGGGCGAAAGCCUGAUGCAGCAACGCCGCGUGAGCGAUGAAGGCCUUCGGGUCGUAAAGCUCUGUCCUCAAGGAAGAUAAUGACGGUACUUGAGGAGGAAGCCCCGGCUAACUACGUGCCAGCCGCCGCGGUAA
This 468-nucleotide ribosomal RNA is filed under the name uncultured bacterium. RNAcentral's name for it is "partial 16S ribosomal RNA". It matches the Rfam family "Bacterial small subunit ribosomal RNA", at positions 28 to 523 of the family's 1533-position model. The record is from RNAcentral.